This is a long non-coding RNA of Dreissena polymorpha, 1758 nucleotides long. RefSeq lists it as uncharacterized. The record is from RefSeq and is a predicted model, not a curated record. The transcript is spliced from 3 exons. Lineage: Eukaryota; Metazoa; Mollusca; Bivalvia; Myida; Dreissenidae.
UAAUUGUGCUUAAUCACCGGGGAUGAACAACUUUUGUCACGUGACCGCAAAAGUCAACGCCGGUUGCAGAAACAGAUUGUAAUCUUGUACAUUAAGAAACAUGACGCUCGUGUGUGAAAUCUGUGGAAAGACAUUUAAAUCGAAGUGGGGGUUAAAGCUUCAUGAUAAGCGCCACAGAGGGACUGGACGAUUCGCCUGUUGUGGAAAAACAUUUUACACAAAACAGGCGUUCAACAGACACAGAUGCAGCAUUCAUGGUGUUGAAAAGCCGUUCCCCUGUGAACAAUGCGGCAAAAAGUUUUCAACCAAAGAUGACCUGAAUCGUCACGUCCGGAGGGAGGUUGCUGCAAAGCAAUUUACCUGCUCAAUUUGCAAUGCAACGCUCCGGGAGAAAAUUGACCUUCAGGCCCACCUUGCCACCCACAAUGGAGAGAAAAACUUUGCUUGUGAUAUGUGUGAAAAGAGGUACAGGCACCGCAGUAGUCUAUCAAAGCACAGAUCUGCAAAGCACCGGGCCUAGUCAUCUGUUGCAUGACGAUGAUAAGACCAAGAAUUAUUUUUAAUUCUUACCAAUGUGCCGUGGUUAUUUUCUUAAUUAUUGAAAAUACAGACUGUCAUACAAUAAUAUAUAGUAUUACGCGUGUUUUUGCGUCUUAAACAUUGUGUUUCAUAUCGUUUAUCUUGUGUUGUUUUGUUUGAUAUUCCUGUUUUUAAUAAGAUUAUUGUUGUAAUAUUUAUCAUUCUAAUUUAAAAUGAUUAUGAUAAUGGUUGAUCUCAUACAAAUUAUUGUGUUCAUUAUUGCUCAUCUGUGAUUACUGUUGAUCUCAGCCCAUGAAUUGUGAUUUAUAUUGAUUAUCUGUGAUUAUUGUUGAUCUUAUCAAAAUAAUUGUAAUUUAUGUUGAUUAUCUUUGAAUUUUUUAUCUUAACCUAUUAAUAGUGAUUUAUAUUAUCUGUGAUUAUUGUUGAUCUUAUCAAAAUCAUUGUGAUUUAUGUUGAUUAUCUGUGAUUAUUGUUGAUCUCAACCGAUUAAUUGUGAUUUAUAUAACCAGUGAUUAUUGUUGAUCUUAUCAAAAUCAUUGUAAUUUAUGUUGAUUAUCUGUGAUUAUUGUUGAUCUUUUCGAAAUCAUUGUAAUUUAUGUUGAUUAUCUGUGAUUAUUGUUGAUCUUUUCGAAAUCAUUGUAAUUUAUGUUGAUUAUCUGUGAUUAUUGUUGAUCUUUUCAAAAUCAUUGUAAUUUAUGUUGAUUAUCUGUGAUUAUUGUUGAUCUCACCAUAUCCGCUGGAAUAUACAUUUGAGCCGCGCUCUGUGAAAAGGGGGUUUAAUGCAUGUGCGUAAAGUGCAGUCCACAUAGGCUAAUCAGGGACGGCACUUUCCGCUUUUAUGAUAUGUUUUGUUAAAAGAAAGUCUCUUCUGAGCAAAAAUCGAGUUUAUCGGAAAGGUUUGUCCCUAAUUAGCCUGUACGGAAUGCACAGGCUAAUAUGUGACGACACCUUACGCACAUGCAUUAAACCCCCUUUUCACAGAGCGAGACUCAUUUGUAAUCUGCGAUUUUUGUUUAUCUAUUUCGAAUCAAUAUGAUUAAAAUAUAUUUUUGGUGAGUUAGCUUUUUGUCUCAUUGGAAUCAUUGUGCGAAUUGUCAACAAUUACAUGUAAAUCUGUAAUUCCUUCUCAAGUUGCACAUAGGCCAGUUUAAUGUUUUGCGUAUAAGCUAUUAUUGCGAUACGGGAUAUUCUUUGCAGCAAUAAAACAAUUAAUCUGCA